AUUGAACGCUGGCGGCAGGCCUAACACAUGCAAGUCGAGCGAGCGGCGGACGGGUGAGUAAUGUAUGGGGACUGCCCGAUAGAGGGGGCUAACUACUGGAAACGGUGGCUAAUACCGCAUACUAUCGGAUAACCCAUAUGGUAUUAGCUAGUAGGUGGGGUAAAGGCUCACCUAGGCGACGAUCUCUAGCUGGUCUGAGAGGAUGAUUAGCCACAUUGGGACGUAGACAAGGCCCAGACUCCAAGGGAGGCAGCAUUGGGAAAGAGUGACAAAUGGGCGAAAGCCGGAUGCAGCCAUGCCGCGUUGAUGAAGAAGGCCUGAGGUGUGUAAAGGACUGUCAGCGGGGAGGCGGUACCCGCAGAAGAAGCACCGGCUAACUCCGUGCCAGCAGCCGCGGUAAUAC
This 403-nucleotide ribosomal RNA is filed under the name uncultured bacterium. Its description in RNAcentral is "partial 16S ribosomal RNA". It matches the Rfam family "Bacterial small subunit ribosomal RNA", at positions 29 to 526 of the family's 1533-position model. The record is from RNAcentral.